Molecule: long non-coding RNA, 256 nt
Filed under: Elaeis guineensis (African oil palm)
Lineage: Eukaryota; Viridiplantae; Streptophyta; Magnoliopsida; Arecales; Arecaceae
Description: long non-coding RNA (EGUI_LNC056902)
Source: RNAcentral
CUGGUUAGAUAUGUUGAUGUGCUGAUCUGAAUUUAAUCAAUCAGAUAUCAGAACUACUGAUUUAGAAGAGAUCUAAACAUAAUUUUUUUCAUUAAAUAUUAAGUCUAUAGGUCUUCCAUCAUAGUAGAGAUGCGGGUGCCUUCCUGGCAUUGAGCGUUCUUGAUUGGUUACAGUGAUUUGAUUGCAUCAGAAAGGUACAAUCACUCUAUUGACAUUUGAUAUCCUAGGAUAGAAAUGGGAUUAGACCCAAUAACUA